This 253-nucleotide ribosomal RNA is filed under the name uncultured bacterium. Its description in RNAcentral is "partial 16S ribosomal RNA". It matches the Rfam family "Bacterial small subunit ribosomal RNA", at positions 524 to 776 of the family's 1533-position model. The record is from RNAcentral.
UACGUAGGGGGCUAGCGUUGUCCGGAUUUAUUGGGCGUAAAGAGCGUGUAGGCGGCCUGGUAGGUCUGCUGUGAAAACUCGAGGCUCAACCUCGAGAUGUCGGCGGAAACCAUCUGGCUAGAGUCCGGAAGAGGAGAGUGGAAUUCCUGGUGUAGCGGUGAAAUGCGCAGAUAUCAGGAAGAACACCAAUGGCGAAAGCAGCUCUCUGGGACGGUACUGACGCUGAGACGCGAAAGCGUGGGGAGCGAACAGG